This 273-nucleotide ribosomal RNA is filed under the name uncultured bacterium. RNAcentral describes it as "partial 16S ribosomal RNA". It matches the Rfam family "Bacterial small subunit ribosomal RNA", at positions 335 to 600 of the family's 1533-position model. The record is from RNAcentral.
ACUCCUACGGGAGGCAGCAGUGGGGAAUAUUGGACAAUGGGGAACCGCUGAUCCAGCCAUGCCGCGUGUGUGAAGAAGGCCUUAUGGUUGUAAAGCACUUUAAGCGAGGAGGAGGCUACUGAGACUAAUACUCUUGGAUAGUGGACGUUACUCGCAGAAUAAGCACCGGCUAACUCUGUGCCAGCAGCCGCGGUAAUACAGAGGGUGCGAGCGUUAAUCGGAUUUACUGGGCGUAAAGCGUGCGCAGGCGGUCUGUUAAGCGAGAUGUGAAAG